This 408-nucleotide ribosomal RNA is filed under the name uncultured bacterium. Its description in RNAcentral is "partial 16S ribosomal RNA". It matches the Rfam family "Bacterial small subunit ribosomal RNA", at positions 28 to 526 of the family's 1533-position model. The record is from RNAcentral.
GACGAACGCUGGCGGCGUGCUUAACACAUGCAAGUCGAACGAAGUGGCGAACGGGUGAGUAACGCGUAAUCAACCUGCCCUUCAGAGGGGGACAACAGUUGGAAACGACUGCUAAUACCGCAUACUGAAGGAGGGGAUUGCGUCUGAUUAGCUAGUUGGAGGGGUAACGGCCCACCACGGCGAUGAUCAGGAGCAGGGUGGAGAGGAUGAACGGCCACAUUGGGCAUGAGACACGGCCCAGACGCCUGCGGGAGGGAGCGGUGGGGAAGCUGCCGGAAUGGACGAAAGUCUGACGAGGCAACGCCGCGUGAGGGAUGACGGCCUUCGGGUUGUAAAGCUCUGAUAAUCGGGACGCGGUACCGGAAUAGAAAGCCACGGCGAACUACGUGCCAGCCGCCGCGGUAAUAC